AUGCAAGUCGAACGAAGUAGCAAUACUUAGUGGCAGACGGGUGAGUAACAUGUAGGUAUCUGCCCUUUGGCCUGGAAUAACACGAGGAAACUUGUGCUAAUACCGGAUAAGUCUUUACAGAGAAAGCUUUAUGCACCAUUGGAUGAGCCUGCACUUGAUUAGUUUGUUGGUGGGGUAAUGGCCUACCAAGACUGUGAUCAAUAGCUGAUUUGAGAGGAUGAUCAGCCACAUUGGGACUGAGACACGGCCCAAACUCCUACGGGAGGCAGCAGUGGGGAAUCUUGCACAAUGGAGGAAACUCUGAUGCAGCGAUGCCGCGUGAGUGAAGAAGGCCUUUGGGUUGUAAAGCUCUUUCGUCGGGGAAGAAAAUGACUGUACCCGAAUAAGAAGGUCCGGCUAACUUCGUGCCAGCAGCCGCGGUAAUACGAAGGGACCUAGCGUAGUUCGGAAUUACUGGGCUUAAAGAGUUCGUAGGUGGUUGAAAAAGUUGGUGGUGAAAUCCCAGAGCUUAACUCUGGAACUGCCAUCAAAACUUUUCAGCUAGAGUAUGAUAGAGGAAAGCAGAAUUUCUAGUGUAGAGGUGAAAUUCGUAGAUAUUAGAAAGAAUACCAAUUGCGAAGGCAGCUUUCUGGAUCAUUACUGACACUGAGGAACGAAAGCAUGGGUAGCGAAGAGGAUUAGAUACCCUCGUAGUCCAUGCCGUAAACGAUGUGUGUUAGACGUUGGAAAUUUAUUUUCAGUGUCGCAGCGAAAGCGAUAAACACACCGCCUGGGGAGUACGACCGCAAGGUUAAAACUCAAAUGAAUUGACGGGGACCCGCACAAGUAGUGGAGCAUGUGGUUUAAUUCGAAGAUACGCGCAGAACCUUACCAACACUUGACAUGUUCGUCGCGACUUUAAGAGAU
RNAcentral lists this ribosomal RNA (906 nucleotides) under uncultured marine bacterium. Its description in RNAcentral is "bacterial SSU rRNA". It matches the Rfam family "Bacterial small subunit ribosomal RNA", at positions 55 to 1009 of the family's 1533-position model. The record is from RNAcentral.